RNAcentral lists this ribosomal RNA (492 nucleotides) under uncultured bacterium. RNAcentral describes it as "partial 16S ribosomal RNA". It matches the Rfam family "Bacterial small subunit ribosomal RNA", at positions 29 to 507 of the family's 1533-position model. The record is from RNAcentral.
AGUGAACGCUGGCGGUAGGCCUAACACAUGCAAGUCGAACGGCAGCAGAGUAAGAGCUUGCUCUUACGGGUGGCGAGUGGCGGACGGGUGAGGAAUACAUCGGAAUCUACUUUUUCGUGGGGGAUAACGUAGGGAAACUUACGCUAAUACCGCAUACGACCUACGGGUGAAAGCAGGGGAUCUUCGGACCUUGCGCGAUUGAAUGAGCCGAUGUCGGAUUAGCUAGUUGGCGGGGUAAAGGCCCACCAAGGCGACGAUCCGUAGCUGGUCUGAGAGGAUGAUCAGCCACACUGGAACUGAGACACGGUCCAGACUCCUACGGGAGGCAGCAGUGGGGAAUAUUGGACAAUGGGCGCAAGCCUGAUCCAGCCAUACCGCGUGGGUGAAGAAGGCCUUCGGGUUGUAAAGCCCUUUUGUUGGGAAAGAAAAGCAGCAGGUUAAUACCCCGCUGUUCUGACGGUACCCAAAGAAUAAGCACCGGCUAACUUCGUG